GAUGAACGCUAGCUAUAUGCUUAACACAUGCAAGUCGAGGGGAAACGCCAUUAUGUGCUUGCACUUUUUUGACGUCGACCGGCGCACGGGAGAGUAUCGCGUCUCCCCUCUACCCUUUACUUAGGUAUACCACGUUGGAAGACGGCCUAAUACCCGAUGUAAUUCAUUUAUUUCAUCAGAUAUGAAUAAAAUUUCUAUCGGUAAAGGAUGGGGAUGCGUCUGAUUAGCUUGUUGGUAAGGUAACGGCUCACCAAGGCGACGAUCAGUAGGGGUUCUGAGAGGAAGGCCCACCACAUUGGAACUGAGACACGGUCCAAACUGCUACGGGAGGAAGCAGUGAGGAAUAUAGUUGAAGAGGGGCAAGCGUGAAACAGCCAAGUAGCGGACAGGAAGACUGCGCUAUGGGUUGUAAACUACUUUGAUACAAGAAUAAUGUGAGGAACGAGGGAGUUAUUGAAGGUAUCGUAUGAAUAAGGACCGGCUAAUUCCGUG
This 492-nucleotide ribosomal RNA is filed under the name uncultured bacterium. RNAcentral's name for it is "partial 16S ribosomal RNA". It matches the Rfam family "Bacterial small subunit ribosomal RNA", at positions 28 to 507 of the family's 1533-position model. The record is from RNAcentral.